This 854-nucleotide long non-coding RNA is filed under the name Salmo salar (Atlantic salmon). RNAcentral describes it as "lncRNA (ENSSSAG00000088353.1)". The record is from RNAcentral. Lineage: Eukaryota; Metazoa; Chordata; Actinopteri; Salmoniformes; Salmonidae.
GGAGGUGUUGAUUCUAAUAGACAGUACGGAGUAGUGGGAGAGUGGAGGUGUUGAUUCUAGAAGACAGUAUGGAGGAGUGGAGGUGUUGAUUCUAGAAGACAGUUUGGAGGAGUGAAAGAGAGGAGGUGUUGAUUCUAGUAGACAGUAUAGAGGAGUGGAGGUGUUGAUUCUAGAAGACAGUAUUGAGGAGUGGAGGUGUUGAUUCUAGCAGACAGUAUAGAGGAGUGGAGGUGUUGAUUCUAAUAACCAGUAUAGAGGAGUGGAGAUGUUGAUUCUAGAAGACAGUAAGGAGGAGUGGAGGUGUUGAUUCUAGAAGACAGUUUGGAGGAGUGAAAGAGUGGAGGUGUUGAUUCUAGUAGACAGUAUAGAGGAGUGGAGGGGUUGAUUCUAGAAGACAGUUUGGAGGAGUGGAGAUGUAGAUUAUAGUAGACAGUAUGGAGGGGUGGAGGUGUUGAUUCUAGAAGACAGUAUGGAGGAGUGGAUGUGUUGAUUCUAGAAGACAGUUAGGAGGAGUGGAGGUGUUGAUUCUAGAAGACAGUAUGGAGGAGUGGAUGUGUUGAUUCUAGUAGACAGUAUGGAGGAGUGGAGGUGUUGAUUCUAGUAGACAGUAUGAAGGAGUGGAGGUGUUGAUUCUAGAAGACAGUAUGGAGGAGUGGAGGUGUUGAUUCCAGUAGACAUUAUGGAGGAGUGGAGGUGUUGAUUCUAGAAGAGAGUAUGGAGGAGUGAAAGAGUGGAGGUGUUGAUUCUAGUAGACAGUAUAGAGGAGUGGAGGGGUUGAUUCUAGAAGACAGUUUGGAGGAGUGGAGAUGUAGAUUAUAGUAGACAGUAUGGAGGGGUGGAGGUGUUGAUUCUAG